This 206-nucleotide unclassified non-coding RNA is filed under the name Hevea brasiliensis (rubber tree). Lineage: Eukaryota; Viridiplantae; Streptophyta; Magnoliopsida; Malpighiales; Euphorbiaceae. The record is from RNAcentral.
GGAUACUCUGAAAGGUGAAACUGUAGAAGAGUGAAAGAAUGAGAACACAUAAUUGUAUUAAUUAAAACAUGAGACUAUUCACUCUGUUUGUAUUAUUGCAGCCCAUCAUUUCACAAUGUAUUGUAUUAUUUUGUAGAACAAUGUUUGGGUAGAUCGUAUCGUUUGUUGUUGACAAUAAUAUUUUUCUUGUUUGGCUUUGAUUGUAU